GAUGAAGAACGUAGCGAAAUGCGAUAAGUAAUGUGAAUUGCAGAAUUCAGUGAAUCAUCGAAUCUUUGAACGCACAUUGCGCCCGCCAGUAUUCUGGCGGGCAUGCCUGUUCGAGCGUCAUUUCAACCAUCAAGCCCCCCCGGCUUGUGUUGGGGACCUGCGGCUGCCGCAGGCCCUGAAAAGCAGUGGCGGGCUCGCUGUCACACCGAGCGUAGUAGAUCUCAUCUCGCUCAGGGCGUGCUGCGGGUUCCGGCCGUUAAACCACCUUCAUAACCCAAGGUUGACCUCGGAUCAGGUAGGAAUACCCGCUGAACUUAAGCAUAUCAAUAAGCGGAGGA
Molecule: unclassified non-coding RNA, 338 nt
Filed under: soil metagenome
Description: partial contains 5.8S ribosomal RNA, internal transcribed spacer 2, and large subunit ribosomal RNA
Rfam family: 5.8S ribosomal RNA (bases 1-120)
Source: RNAcentral